RNAcentral lists this ribosomal RNA (439 nucleotides) under uncultured bacterium. Its description in RNAcentral is "partial 16S ribosomal RNA". It matches the Rfam family "Bacterial small subunit ribosomal RNA", at positions 339 to 795 of the family's 1533-position model. The record is from RNAcentral.
CUACGGGUUGCAGCAGUGGGGAAUAUUGCACAAUGGAGGAAACUCUGAUGCAGCAACGCCGCGUGGAGGAUGACACUUUUCGGAGCGUAAACUCCUUUUAUAUAGGAAGAAGAUGACGGUACUAUAUGAAUAAGCGCCGGCUAACUCCGUGCCAGCAGCCGCGGUAAUACGGAGGGCGCAAGCGUUACUCGGAAUCACUGGGCGUAAAGAGCGUGUAGGCGGAUUAAAAAGUCAGAAGUGAAAUCCUAUAGCUUAACUAUAGAACUGCUUCUGAAACUCUUAAUCUAGAAUGUGGGAGAGGUAGAUGGAAUUUCUUGUGUAGGGGUAAAAUCCGUAGAGAUCAGAAGGAAUACCGAUUGCGAAGGCGAUCUACUAGAACAUUAUUGACGCUGAGACGCGAAAGCGUGGGGAGCAAACAGGAUUAGAUACCCGCGUAGUC